Molecule: long non-coding RNA, 2540 nt
Organism: Pezoporus occidentalis (night parrot)
Lineage: Eukaryota; Metazoa; Chordata; Aves; Psittaciformes; Psittacidae
Exons: 3
Source: RefSeq, a predicted model, not a curated record
CACUGGUACCUGUAAUUUUCUUCUUUAAAUUCUUUUUUGGUUCCCUGUUGUUUUAUGUAUUAAAUGCAUUUUUUUGAGGUAAUUCCCCUCUAAGCAUUCUCUCAGUCCCUGUUCCUUCAUCUCAAAGCUUUUAUUCAGUUAAAAUACUUAGAAUUUGUCCUAGCCAUUAAUUUUAAUUUUCAAACAGUAUUUUUUAAAGAUUAGCUAAAUUAAAUCAUUUUUGCAAUUAGUGUCAAAUUAAUCCAUAAUGGAAGGUGGAUAACAGCAGGAGAUAGAGUCUCUUAGAUUUUGACAGAUACCCUCAUUGGGUUUAAUGUUUUGUAUAAUAUCUCCUUAAGUGAGCAAAGAGCUUGCUUCGAUGACUUCCUUCCCUCACAUCUAUGCUGCUGUCCACAGAGAACUAAUAUCUUUGACUAUGGGGAAAACUCUCUUCUUACAUCUCUGGAUUCUGAGGGGGAGUAUUGUUAACACCGGUUAUCUUAGAAAACAUUUUUUGCCCUUUUCAGGCCUGAUCUCUGGCACUUAAUAGGUGAGCACUUGAUAGGUGAGGGUUGCUGAAGCUCCAUGGAUUGUAACAUACAAAGAUUACCACAAAAAAAAAAAACAAACCAACCAAAAAACUUAAUUUCAUAGAGAUAGGUGAAAAAGCAGCCAAAUAAUCAUUAACUAGUGGAAAUCAAGGAAUAGUGAUCUUCAGUAGGCAGACUAAUGGAGAGAAGGAGGCUGGAAAUGGGAUAAUGAGACCAGUCAUCUCAGGAAUAGGGUCUGGAUCAACAAGAGCUGGGUCUGAACAUACCUCACUAUCUUAGGACUUUGUCACUGAGACUGAAUCAAAUAAAAGGAAGCAAACACACUGGUACUUACCAGUGGCUCAUUUGAGUGUUUGGCUCUAGACACAUCUGUGCCCAAAGUGCUUUAAUUUGCUGUACCUGAUUCUAGGCAGGCCUUCAGCUCUGACCUAGGAUUGAACUCUGUGUGACUUUCUCUGAUGAUUAAAUGCUUACUCCUGUCUGCUCAGGCUCCUCAGACACUUUCAUUUUCUCAGACAAUUUUCUUUUUUUUUUUUAAAUAAGCAGGGACAUGUGUGUAAUGGUUCAUUUAUUCUGGCAUCAGGUGGCAUCACUUGAUUAAAUGAUUGGUUUACGCCAAAACUUCUUUUUGUACCUUAUCUGGCCUACCUGACUUCAGUGACUGUUUUGUUUAAAGCAGUAGUGUGUUAAGAAUUACUGAGCUUCAGGAAUAGAUGAAGAAUUUCAUAAAAAAAUCUCUGAAGUUUGAGAAGACAACCUGUUCUCUCACAGACCUACUGUGGAUCUCAAGUUCAACAGAAAUAGGGAAGAUAAAAAAUGGAGAUAUAAGCACAGCAUUUUGCAGUCAGUGGUCACAUACAAAAUUAAAUCAGUCCUAUUUUUGGCUACAAUACUAGCAAGGAGAUUUUUCCUGUGAAAGCAGAACUGAAAAGCCUUUGCAUCACUGCUACUGACUGUAGAACAGUGGAAGUUUAGUUUGCUUAAAAACUGCUCAGAAUAUAAGAACACCAGAAUGCUCUGGUCAGUACUAAUAAUACGGCUACAUUAUUUUGACCCCUCAAUUAUAUCAUCAACCUUGCUGUGUUUUUAAGUUUGCAACUUCCAAAGCUGUGUGAUUAAGCAGGAGUUUGUGCUUUAAUUAAAAUAAUAUUACUCUUUAGGAUUCCAGUAAAAAUCUGGAAAGUAGGAUUCUUCAGAGACUUCAAAUUCAGAGGGAAAUGUUUCAUAUAGACUUCAUUAAUUUUUAAGAUCUUAUUAUUUCUAAAUCUACUUCAUAUUUCUUUAGCAUCCAACUGAUGAGAUUUGAUCACUGAGGAUAAGCAAAAAAUACUGCUUUAAGUAGAAAGGCAAUCUCUAGAAUAUGGAAUACCUGUGAAGAGAAUACUAUGUGCAAACUGAAACCCCAAAAGAUAAGGCAGCUUCCUGUACGAGAUGAGAUUUAGGUCACCAAAGAUAUUCCUAGUACUUGUCAUCCUUGUAUCAAUUAAAUGAAUGGACUUGUUCCAAAACUUUAUUCCACCUCUUUAAAAUUAUGUGUAUGCUGCAAGAACGAUUUUUUUAAGCUGUCUAUUGCUACAAGAGAAGCUGUAACUAAAGGAAGCUAUCAUUGCACUGCAGAAUGGAUCAUUUAUAACACACAAAAAUGGCCCGUUAUUUACAGUUCUUAUUAAAAAAAAAGUGAACGUGGAAUGCAUUCAGAUUUCAGCAGUUGCAAUACUGUUAACUUGCCUUCUAUCAUUAUGAAGGCAUAUAAAGAGAUACAGCUACUCCUAAGGAACAUUUCUUUUAGGUCUUGUCCUUUAUAAAUGUUGCCACUAUAAUUUUUGCUUGGAAAGUUGGGUUUAAACAAAUUCAAAAUGAAACUGGACCAAAAUUAAAUCUCAGCUGUUUUCAGCAAGAACCAUGAACCUGGCUUUUAUGGCUUUAAUUUGGAGGCUCUCUGUGAGAUUUGUACUCUUGCAAACAUUUUAGUAAAGGUAAGGGGAGAAAGCCAAUGGAUAGUGAGGUAUC